Molecule: non-coding RNA, 6959 nt
Organism: Cyanistes caeruleus (blue tit)
Lineage: Eukaryota; Metazoa; Chordata; Aves; Passeriformes; Paridae
Source: RefSeq, a predicted model, not a curated record
AGUCAGCAUGUCAAAAAUCGUAUUAGACUAUUACUAAACAAAUAAUUUAAAAAAUAUAAUAGUGGUAAAUUUCACACAAUUAUAUGUAGUCAUCUGCUCUUACUAUCUACUAAAAUAAAUCCACUUCAGCCCUAAGUUUAGAAUGCCUAGGUUUUAUGCCUUUUUUUUCCUUGGUAGGAACAAGGUACAGGGAAAUAAAGUUUUAGCUCUUCAUUAAAGAGAAUCAUCUCCAGUCACUGAUAAAGGUUUCUUCAAGUGUGUUAUUGUUCUGGUGUAUGAAAUUUGACUCAGGCUUCAAGAAAACAACAAUCCAGAGAAUUCCAGGUUCUGAGACAUUUCACCUAUGUGCAUCAGGGAAGUUUUGGCUAAACAGGAUGAGAGUGUGAGCUGAACCUGUAUGGACACAGUGGUUUUGCCUAAGGCUGCUAAAACCUAGAAGCCCACAUUACCUCCAUUUACCUUCUGGAGUGUUCCAUCAGCACAACUUUAAGAGUGAGUCACCUUCCACACAAGUUUUAGCCCUUACAGAUGUUAUCAACUCCUGUCCUAACAGUCUCUUUUAUCUUUCCUCUCUCCUUUAGAAACAUCCCUUUGUUAUACGUUUGGAGCACUCUCAGGUAUUAGUGGCUGCACAUUAAAAUUUUGAGUUAUACAUAACCUACAUGAAGGUGCAUCAGGUCACAGAACAUGCCUGUCACUGUUUUGACUACCAUGCAUAUUCCUUUAGGUCCUACACCACAAUAAAGGGCUCUAUUGUUACUCAAAACUCAACAGCAUGUAGAAUGUUCAGUGUAAACCAGAAAAACAUAAACUAGCAGUUUUCAAGUAAGAUGUAGAUGUCUAAAUAAAAUAAAUAAAUAAAUAAAUAAAUCUGGCACAUUUCUGCCUAGCCUUUAGGCACGUUUUUUUUCAAACAGAAAAGCUUUUCAGGGACAAGCCUGGCUUGUGAUUAGGGUCCUCUCAUACAGGAUGUAAAAGAUUUAAAUAAAAAAGACAAAUUGCCAUCACAUAGCAGUGAACACCAGCACCACUGACAGUUUAAGAACAGAUUCCUGUUCAGGGCUCAAAUCCAGAACGAUAGUAGACACUUUUCAGAUUUAACUUAAAAGCAGAGCAGAAGCCCAGAAACUGCCUCUAUUACCUGAAUCUUUUUCAACAUCUACAGAAAGCGCCCAGGAAGACCAGUCUCUGCACUUGAGUGUGCAAAGGUGAGGUCACAUACGAAGCUCAGAUUCCUACUGACCAAGUUCAAAAGAUAGAAUAUCUCCAUUACCCUGCCUGGUUGGACAGCAAAUUAAUUACACUACAAGCAAACAAGGCAAAAGAGAGCAUUUGUCCCUUACUAAAAAUUAUUCAGAAGACAGGUCACUCAAAGAGUUCAUAGCUAAUACAUGUUUUAUUUCUUGCAGUUAAAUUGUAAAACUUGGUACUACAUGAAACACUUAAUUAAAAAAACUGUCCAAGUGAAUUAAUAGCUGCCAGUUCAUUAGCAGUUUGGCAUGCAUGAAUGCAUUUCUUUUGUUAUAACUGAAAACCACAGAGUAACCUUACUUCUGGUGCUAGAGAGACAGUGUGUGCAGUGGUAGAAACAAACAUGCAUUCACAGUGUGAGCAAGUGCUGCAUGUUCAUUUGGGUUUGGCAUUUUAACAGACACCCAGAGGAAGUGGUGAUGGGGGGGAAAAAAACCAGUGUAUCCCCAUGGUAACCAGGACAUCUUGUUUUAUAAUGUUAAACAUGUUUAGCAUGUUUAACAUUAAACACACCAGACAGAAAAAAAUUAGUCACCUAGGAAAAUAUUCAUUUCUGAGCAAAACUAUUCAUGAACAAUGAACAUGAAAAGCUCUUGGCAGUGUCCUGUGAGAUAUGAAACAAAAGUUGCUAUUUUUCAUUUUUGGCAGCUGACAAUUUAUUCUAAGCUUUUUCCUACGCCUAUGAAUCAAAAGCCUCCUCUCUUCUGCCCUUUUUAUUCUUCUCAACAAAGUACUUUUAGAUUUACUUUCUCGUGUGCUAAGUUUUUCCAAAAACAGAUCUUAGUAAAAUUUUUACUGUAUAAUAAAUUAUUUGUGAGUUCCAAGUGAGAACGAAGAAACCUAUCUGGAAUUGAAAACUUCUCAACUUGAUUAGUAUUAUGAAAAUAUUUUGUGGAUGAUGACUGCUUUAUUUUUGUACCUCCCAUGCUCCCAAUGACUAGGAAGAAAAGUGUUUUGAGAUUCACUAGCAUUGCAUAAAGGAAUACCAAAACUGCAUAAAGAAUCAGUGUAUUCCUAUUAUGCCAGCUGUACUUUUUUACUGAUGGUUCAUUUUAUACUUGUAUAUAAAUCAGCAAGUCAAGUGUCAGCUAUAUUUUUACAUGUCCAUUCAAAAAUCAGAACUUGAAGUUUUAGUUAAUCAACUCAGUCUUGAACAACUCAGAAUAGAAAAUUAAUUUACUUGCUUACUCAUCUUAUAAACAUCCUGUUUGUAACCAAGUUCCUAUUGCAUCUUUUAAAGCCCACACACACCCAUGUAUAUAACCUAUGUGGAAAUUUGCCAUCAAGUAACUUUGCAUGUUGUACCACUAUCAGUCCAGGUGCAGAAAUUCUACUUGACAUGUACCUGACAUGCAGACAUACCUACAUGACACUUCAGUGACAUGUUUCUCACAAAUUGACCUUCUUUUUCUAGCUGCAUGUCUGAACUGACACACAUUUAGAAGAGAGGAAAGUUUUGAGGUAGAAUAAAUAAUUCCAGCUUUCUGUGAAAACUGUGACUGUAAGCAAACGUAUAACAUUAGAUGCAUAAAAAGCAUAUUUUAUCUUACUGUGCAGCAGUGUUCACUGGUUUCUAUGGAGAAGCAGACUUGGCACCUUGUUGAAUGGCUGAAAGCUAGCCUGAAGUUUAACCUAAGACAAGUCAUGUAUUUUAAACAGAUAUAUAUAUAUCUAAAAUAUAUACAAUAGAACAUAUUCAAGAAAACAAUCUACCCUUUUCAUUGUUAGUGAGAAUAGCACUUCUAAAAUUUUACUGAACAAGGCUAUUUUCUAAUCUCCUAAGAUUCUGAAGGCUAAUAUAAACCAAGUUUGUUUGUAACUGUAUUAAUUUCUGUGAAUUAACAUUGGAAGUAAUUCCUCUUUCUUUGUGACACUUCAGAAACCCAGAAGUCUUAUUUUGCUUCCUGCUAUUGACUGUCAGCUCUGGAUGGCUUAAGUAUAGAGGGAAGCCAGAAAAGCCAUCUGUUAGGAAGAAUGAGAAAGCCUAGUUGUUUUACUCAUUUCCUGGGCUGAAAGGUUUUUAGUGAGAAAACUGCUUAGACUGCAGUAAGCCAGAUGUAUAUAGGGAAUUCAAAAGGAAUAAAUGAAAUAGAAUUUUCGUAAUUCAGUAUAAAAUAGUUUUAUGGCAAAUGUGAAGAAAGCACUUGGUCCCUUUAAGCAGAUAAUAUCUAAGUUUUUCAGUAAAAUUUACAAAUCCCAGGUUUGCUUUUCCAAAUGAACUUAUAUUAUGAAUAACAGGAUACUAAAAAAAAAAUAAGUCAAAUGUUAGCAGUAGCACUGCAAAUCAAUGUCUUCUGCUUUUAGGAGAAGUAGGAUAUAUAGUGCUAUAAAAAUCCAGUCACUAUGUAAGUUCUGAAUCUGAGAAGAAGAAUUUUUAAAUAAUGCAUUAGCAUAGCACAAAAAAUUAUAAUAGAUUUCAUAUGAAAAAAUUCAGGACUACUGAACAAUGGGCAUAUUGAACUUUUGCUUCACAAAUGAAAACUUCUUCAUCCACAUUAUGAUAGAGCCAAACAUAUUUCUCACACUUUAUGUUUUUUUGUCUUUUCAGGCCAUUACUGAUGGGAAGGCUGACACCCAUUACAGCAGUAAAUUGAGUGUCAUUUGUCUAUUUAACAAAACAACCUUUAUCAAAUGCAGCUACUUGAGGUCACUAUUUCAGCAUAAACACCAAAAUAAUUAUUGUAGUGCCUCUAGCCAUAGUUCAAUUAAGAUACUGAAGAAGUAGAUUAUGUGCAUUUUUAUAUACAUAUAUUAAAAUACAUGUGUAUGUAUAUAAAAAUGUAUGUGUAAGUCUAAUAUAAUUAUCUUAAUAUACAUAAAUAUAUAUGUAUCCAUAUACACAGGACCAACUUGGAUGAUACUUGCCAAAACAGCUUUCUGGACUACUCAGUUUAAAUCAUUGAGUAGCCAGACUAUUUAGCUCUCACCUAUGAAACAGAUUACAAAACUGCCUUAUUUUACUACUUCAGCCUUAUUUUACUAAUUCAGUUGCUCUUCUGCUACUCUUUUUCCCUCUAAUUAUACUGUUCAGCUACAUGACACAGUAUCUAAAGCAGUCUCCUCAAUGCUAGCUGUUCAGAUUAACAAUUGGUUAGAUUGCUUUCAAAAAACCUUCAGAAAUUCAGAGAAAUCAAGUUUUGAGCUGCUACAUCUGACACCCACCAUACAGUUUUCCCCAGAAGAGGGGAUUAAAGUUACCAGACUGAACUGCAGGCUUCUAACAGCUCGUAUCUAGAUUUCCAGGCCUACAAGCACUCCACUGGAUUUUUCCCUUCUUGAAGUGACAGUUUCUCUGGCAUCCAAACACAUUGCUGUGUUUCCUCAACUGGAAACAAAUGAACAAAGAAUCCAAAUAGUCUGGUGAAAGGCUUAUGGAAAAAAAUAAUUUCCACAGGCCCUUCCUGAGAUGCAUUCCAUCUUUGCUACGCAUCAUGACAGCUUUUCCAAGUAAAGGCCUCUCCUUUACCUAUUCUCUGAAUUAUUGCCUUCCCUCCAGCAUACACAAGCCAUCCAUCUGGAGUUCUCCCACACUGCCUUCCUUUAAAGGACUACUUCCAUUUCUGUGACAUAAUAUCCCUCGUAGAGCUCUCAAAGGGCUAAAAUCAAGACAGUCAUCCCUUUGGAACUAUCUUAAAACACAUCUAUUUAUCUCUGCAAACUCAGGAGUUUGGUUUUUCCUACGUAUGACCAAGAGUUCCAGUGUGAAGAUGCCUUUUUCCACAAUGACAAUUCACAAACUCUGCUGGUGUAAAGUGUCUCCUUACUGAUCUGUGUGCAUCCCAGAUUGUGUUUAACUAUGGAUUCCCAGACACCCAGUAGAAAAGACUGACUAGAAGACUUCUAGCUUUCUUAAAUAAGCUUCCUAAACCCAGCACGUCUCCACUGCUAAAGCUGAGGCAAAUAUCUUUGCUUAUCUCAGGAAAAAACCGCUCAGUAUUAAUCCAGCAACUAUUUACACAUUGGAAGGCUUGCAUUUUCAGCAUUCUUUUAAGGGAGAAACUUAAAACUUGACUUCUUUUUCAACACUAAGUCUUGUUGCUUUUCCCUAAAAUAACCUCAACUAUGUAUUUAUCAUCAUAUAGUAUUCAAAAUUGGGAACAGUACAGACAAAAUCUCACAACAAGCACAGCACCAAGUAGAGCAGAAUAAUUACCUCCUGUGCCUCACAUCUGAUGCUUUUGUUACUAUUACCCAGAACAGGUUUUGUUUUGGUAUCACUGGGUUUUAACUCUUAGUCUGAUCUGCUGUAAUACUCAGAAUAUUCAGCACGGAACUGCUUCACAUUCCCUGACAAGCUGAUGCACCUAGCACUCAAUCCAUCGUUCCCUUGCAAAUUUUACAGGGCCAGUCUGUCCUACCAUCCAGACUAUUAAUGAAAAUAUUGAAUAAAUUUGUAAACUUGAUCACUGUGCUGUGCUUUAACCAAGGAAAUAGUUCCUAAGUAUCCAAUUUAGAAUGCUGUGUAGGAAAAACUAUUCUAUUCAUUGUUCUUUAGCUUUAGUAUGUUAAAGAACCUUAAAUCAAAGAAAACUAGAAAACUUUAGCAAAAGAAAAAAAAAAAACAACUUUAAAUCAGAUAGUAGUUCACAGGCCAACAUCAGCAAGUUACUAAUGACUUGCUCAUAAGCAAGUUAAUUUUACCUUAAUCAGUAAGGCAAGUCAGUAGCAAGCAUUUGAUACAUUAGAGGCAUAAUGUGAUAUUAGCUUCAAGUUGCUUUAUCUACUAACAUAAAAUCACAAAUCACAAAUACUUAUGGUUAGAGGACAUUUUCCCUAGGGCUGUUACAGAUGGCUUUUUAACUCAAAUAGCAUGAAGUCCUACAAACCUGUAUGUUUUUAAAUUACAUACAAAAUUUUUCAGAGGAAUGUUAUAUCAGCAUUUUCUUACUUUGGAGCUAGAACUGGCAACAUCAUUGUCUAAACUUAAAAUGGUCAAAAAAUAUAAUUGUAUGGGUGUGAGAGCAGUACCACAGCAUUACUUCAGAAAUUUUUGUAUUUAUAUAAUAAAUGAGAAACAUUUAGAAAAGCUCCCCCCACCUAUUCCACAGUUAAUUUGGUUUGGUUUUUUUUUAUUGAUCCAGUCUUGAAUAAUGCUGCUUAUUUGGUAACAAUAUCAGGCAAAAACAUGAGCAAGUGUCAUUCUGCAUUCCAAUAUGAAUCAUUCAAUGAAGUUUUGCAGUAUAUACAUUUUAUCCAGCUUCUGACAUUAAAGGUCAUCAUGCCAAUGAAAAUUUUUAACAAUACAAUAAAAUCCUUCAAAUAUAAAUGCUUAUGAAUGCAAUUCAAGAGACCAAACAUUUUAAUUUUCUGAAAUUUAUAUCACUCAUGUCCAUAAUAAUUUUACAUUUCACACUUCAUGCUCUCAAAUGUUACCCUAGAGAAGACUAAAUCUUUUUGCCACAUAUACUAUUAAAGACACUAACCAGGUUUAUAGAGUUACAGAAGACUAUAGUAAGAUGUAAAAUUUAGUAGUAAUAAGUUAUGACAUUUGCUGACUAAAACAUUAUUCAGUCUACCAUAUUUUUUGAGCCACUCAAAUACAAUAAGUAUUUGGAUGUUAUAUACUACCCAUUUCUUAUACUUACAGUGCAAAAUAAGAGACAAUGUUUUUCCUGAGCAUUUAGGAAAUGAAAAUCCUUUAUCUUUGAUUACAGUCCAUUUAAAAUAUACUCCUCACAUACCUAGGCUCAUCAAGACUGUACAAUUAA